GACGAACGCUGGCGGCGUGCUUAACACAUGCAAGUCGAACGGAAAGGCCCUGCUUUUGUGGGGUGCUCGAGUGGCGAACGGGUGAGUAACACGUGAGUAACCUGCCCUUGACUUUGGGAUAACUUCAGGAAACUGGGGCUAAUACCGGAUAGGAGCUCCUGCUGCAUGGUGGUGGUUGGAAAGUUUCGGCGGUUGGGGAUGGACUCGCGGCUUAUCAGCUUGUUGGUGGGGUAGUGGCUUACCAAGGCUUUGACGGGUAGCCGGCCUGAGAGGGUGACCGGGCACAGUGGGACUGAGAUACGGCCCAGACUCCUACGGGAGGCAGCAGUGGGGAAUAUUGCACAAUGGGCGGAAGCCUGAUGCAGCAACGCCGCGUGCGGGAUGACGGCCUUCGGGUUGUAAACCGCUUUCGCCUGUGACGAAGCGUGAGUGACGGUAAUGGGUAAAGAAGCACCGGCUAACUACGUG
RNAcentral lists this ribosomal RNA (468 nucleotides) under uncultured bacterium. RNAcentral describes it as "partial 16S ribosomal RNA". It matches the Rfam family "Bacterial small subunit ribosomal RNA", at positions 28 to 507 of the family's 1533-position model. The record is from RNAcentral.